RNAcentral lists this ribosomal RNA (312 nucleotides) under uncultured bacterium. RNAcentral's name for it is "bacterial SSU rRNA". It matches the Rfam family "Bacterial small subunit ribosomal RNA", at positions 181 to 507 of the family's 1533-position model. The record is from RNAcentral.
CGGAAUCGCAUGAUACAGUGUAGAAAACUCCGGUGGUAUAAGAUCGGACCCGCGUCUGAUUAGCUAGUUGGUGAGGUAAGGGCUCACCAAGGCGACGAUCAUUAGCCGGACUGAGAGGUUGAACGGCCACAUUGGGACUGAGACACGGCCCAGACUCCUACGGGAGGCAGCAGGUGGGGAAUAUUGCGCAAUGGGGGAAACCCUGACGCAGCAAUGCCGCGUGAAGGAUGAAGGUUUUCGGAUUGUAAACUUCUUUUACUGAGGACGAAAGAAAUGACGGUACUCAGAGAAUAAGCCACGGCUAACUACGUG